Molecule: long non-coding RNA, 1182 nt
Organism: Gallus gallus (chicken)
Lineage: Eukaryota; Metazoa; Chordata; Aves; Galliformes; Phasianidae
Source: Ensembl
UUUCUUCUCUCCCCCGUUUUCCUGUCUUCCCCUCCUUUUCCUUCCUUACCCCGUUCCUUUCUUUCCUCCCCUUCCCCCCCACCCCCUUUCCUUUUCUUUUUAAGAAAUAAUAAUCACGAGAUCAUGUUUUCUCAAGGAAUAAGCUGUAGUCACGAGGGUUUCCCCACACGUGUGAGCUAUCCGUGCUGUGUCCCGAAUAUUUUGGGGAGGUUCUGCUGGCGGAGAUGCUGUAAGCGAGGCUGCGUGUGCUGGGGAAGAGGGGGUGGUUGGAAUUAAUAGGAUAAACAAAGCAGGGACUCGGGGAUGGCGAAAUCAGAUGGUUGGGAAAUGCUUUGGUAAUGGUGGAGAUGCACUCUGGGAUUUAAGCAAGCUGAGUUUCCUUUGGUAAACGUGCAGGUCUGUGAGGUUUGGCAGUUCCUCCCAACACAGGGCACGGCUGCUGUGGGUGCUGCUCAGGAGAAUCAGUGGCAGGUGGAGAUCUCGGUCCACCCGUGCCAGAUUCUGUUGUGUGAACCCCAUUCUACAGCAGGCAGGUGCUGCAGGGGGGUCAUUCUUGCAGGUUUUUGGCAUGCAGAUGGAUAAAUGGCAAUCUAUUUCUGGGGAGGAAAACCAAAGAACCCCGCUGUCCCCUAUGCACAUCACCACCAAAAAAUGAAGGUUCUUUCCCAACCAAUAAUUCAACGAUUUCUAAGCCAGAAAGUGCACUGUCCAACUUGCAUGUGGUCCUUCUAUGGCUUUUCCUGUUGAAGAGUCCAUGGAAAACACACAGACCACCCUGGGAAAUGUUUCCCAAAUCCUGGAGCAGAAGCAAGAGGUAGGGAAUGAUGGAGCACGCCCUGACUGUGGCUCAGCCUCAGUGCUGAAGUAUGGGACAGCCUUUGCCUGAAGGACUGCGAUUCUGGGUCCAUCUCCACUCCAGCCAUGACACAGACACUUUCCACAUGUUAUUUAUUAUUUUUCCCUGUAAGCACUGUAUGGCAGUGAGAAACAUUAGCUGGGAAUUCAGGGCAGGUGGGUAUUCCCGGAUUUCACUUUGUGCCUUUAGGUCUUCUGUGUAGUAAUGACUCCCCUGGAAAUUCCCCACGUCUCACUUAUUACUCCUUUAUUAGUUAUUAUGGUACAGUAACAGGAUAAAAAGGAGUUGGUAUUUCAUUUUCAUUCCCUCUAAUAGCCAUGGCAAAG